AGAGUUUGAUCCUGGCUCAGAACGAACGCUGGCGGCAGGCUUAACACAUGCAAGUCGAACGAUAUAGUGGCAGACGGGUGAGUAACGCGUGGAAACGUGCCUUUCACUACGGAAUAGCUUUUGGAAACGAAAGGUAAUACCGUAUACGCCCUCCGGGGGAAAGAUUUAUCGGUGAAAGAUCGGUCCGCGUUAGAUUAGCUAGUUGGUAAGGUAACGGCUUACCAAGGCUACGAUCUAUAGCUGGUCUGAGAGGAUGAUCAGCCACACUGGGACUGAGACACGGCCCAGACUCCUACGGGAGGCAGCAGUGGGGAAUAUUGCACAAUGGGCGCAAGCCUGAUGCAGCCAUGCCGCGUGAAUGAUGAAGGCCUUAGGGUUGUAAAAUUCUUUCGCCAGGGAUGAUAAUGACAGUACCUGGUAAAGAAGCCCCGGCUAACUUC
RNAcentral lists this ribosomal RNA (440 nucleotides) under uncultured Alphaproteobacteria bacterium. RNAcentral's name for it is "bacterial SSU rRNA". It matches the Rfam family "Bacterial small subunit ribosomal RNA", at positions 8 to 504 of the family's 1533-position model. The record is from RNAcentral. Lineage: Bacteria; Pseudomonadati; Pseudomonadota; Alphaproteobacteria.